RNAcentral lists this long non-coding RNA (1493 nucleotides) under Androctonus crassicauda. The record is from RNAcentral. Lineage: Eukaryota; Metazoa; Arthropoda; Arachnida; Scorpiones; Buthidae.
GUCAAAUAUUUUUAACUAUAAAUGUAUGUAAAUUUUGAUUUCAUAUUCAAAAAGUUAGCUCUGAUAUCAUAAAAGCUUUGCAAAAAGAAUAUUAAAUAAGAUAAAGCUAUAAAUAUUAUAAAUUAUUUAGAAUGCUAUAUCAAUGAACAAAAAUAAUCCAAUUGUGAAAUUUCUUAUGAAGUCUCUUCAAAAUUUAUCAUUUAAAAAUGAAUUUUUGUCAGUGCUGUAUUUUUUUCUAAUAAUCAAUUCAGUAAUAAUUUUGAAAUUAGGAAAAUGGCAGUUAUGAGAUUCAAAACCUUUCCAGAUGAAAUGAUGAAGGCAAUUUUAGCAUUUAACCAGCCACAUCAUAGUAAGCUUAUAAUGCUAAUUCAUUGUGUUUCAUGUGCAGAUGAAAUCUCUAUUCACUUAAACUUGCACAGCCAGCUCAUGAUAUGUAUUUGGCCAAGUGUUGAACUUCAUUACAUUUAAGACAGAUGUCUUAACAAUUCUGUCAUACAUUACUAAGCAUAUAUUUUGUCUUUUGCUCUUAAUGUAAUAAAUAAUUAGAUCAAUCAAAAAUAGGUUUGAAAUAGUUUGAUUAGCUUAUAAUAAAACAAGAAGUAUGCUAUAUGCAAUUUUUAUUAUUGCAGUUGUUCUCUCUGCUUCUUAUUAGUUUUCUUCUAUUUUAGAUAAAUUUGUAUCUUUGGAAUUUCACAUUAUAUCUGCAGUUACCAUCUAUCCAAAAUCAUUAAGUAGCUGACAUUUCAUAUUUUAACAAAUGUCACUAAUAUAUCUAAUAAUUAACAAGCCAUAAAAUUUUAAAGCGAAAAAUAUAUAAACAGCACAAAGCAGAAAAUAUCCAAUUUGGAGAAAGAGCUUAUGCCGCCAUCAUUAAAUAUAUGAUUAAGUUUUAUUUUGAGUAAAAUACAGUAAAAUCUUACAGUUAAGCAGAUAAAAUAUUUAUUAGUAUCCGUUAUCGGAUAUGUGCAUAAGUAAUAAUACUUCAUAAAUUCUCAGUUCGAUUUAAAAUCGAUAAAGAAUAUGCAAAGAAAAUAAAUGUGUUAGUUUUCCCGCUAAGUAUACUUUAAUGUUAAUUUUUCAGGUCUGAAUAUUGAAAGGUGUCGACUUACUAUUAAUUCUUUAUCAAAGGACUUCAUUUAUUAUUCAUUUCGAUAAAAAUUUAUUAUUAAUGCAAACUGCCAUUCAACUAUAAGCCAAAUUUCUCAUUUGAACAGAAGAUGAAACAAACUAAUUUUAUUGCAUGCAAAUUUUCCUCAAUAAAUAUGUUUUUGUAACCCGUUUAUGUUCGUAAAUCAAAUAUUUGUCAGUAGGCCUAUUUGUCAGUGCUGUUGUUAUCGGGUAUUGAUUUAUUCGCCAUCUAUUCGUGUAAAUAAACCCCCAAAAUAUUUUGUUAAUUCUUCGCAUAAUCCAUUUUUAUAUGAUACUGUAGCCAUCUUGGCCAAAUAUAGAGAUAACAAAUUACCAAGCAUACUUUUUAAUUUGCUGAAAAAAGU